This is a non-coding RNA of Bos taurus (domestic cattle), 73 nucleotides long. Lineage: Eukaryota; Metazoa; Chordata; Mammalia; Artiodactyla; Bovidae. The record is from Rfam.
UCCCUGGCAGUCCAGUAGUUAAGACUCUGCACUUCCACUGCAGGAGGUAUGGGUUCGAUCCCUGGUCUGGGAA